Molecule: unclassified non-coding RNA, 380 nt
Filed under: uncultured fungus
Lineage: Eukaryota; Fungi
Description: sequence contains ITS2
Source: RNAcentral
AACGCACAUUGCGCCCCCUGGCAUUCCGGGGGGCAUGUCUGUUUGAGAACCUUGACGUCCCUCACCCCCCCCUCUCGUGUCCGCACGAGGUUGGGAGGUGGAUCUGGGCCAACCUCGCACUCGCUGUGGGGUGGCCUGAAAGUCAAGAUCGGCAGUCGCCGCGGGUCAAACCUCCGCAGCGCCGCACAACAAGACGUGCCAGUGAGAUUUUCUCAUCCAGCGUCGGACCGUGUGGCAUGCGGGCCAUGGGUUUGCAUCCAUCGCUCGAUCACUCGAGAGAGGCAUUGUCGACUCACUAGUCGCCAGGCGAGACGCCUCACCGCGCCUCGUAGACCUGAACACCUGGUCUCAAAUCAGACAAGACGACCCGCUGAACUUAA